UACGGAGGUGGCGAGCGUUACUCGGAAUCAUUGGGUGUAAAGGGCAAGUAGGCGGCUUAUUAAGUGAGGGGUGAAAUCUUCCGGCUCAAUCGGGAAAUUGCCUUUCAAACUAAUAUGCUUGAGGCUGGAAAGGGGAAGUGGAAUUAGCAGUAUAAGGGUGAAAUCUGUAGAUAUUGCUAAGAACACCGGUGGCGAAGGCGGCUCACUGGCCCGGUACUGACGCUGAGGUGCGAAAGCGUGGGGAGCAAACAGG
RNAcentral lists this ribosomal RNA (253 nucleotides) under uncultured bacterium. RNAcentral describes it as "partial 16S ribosomal RNA". It matches the Rfam family "Bacterial small subunit ribosomal RNA", at positions 524 to 776 of the family's 1533-position model. The record is from RNAcentral.